This 66-nucleotide transfer RNA is filed under the name uncultured Bacteroides sp. It matches the Rfam family "tRNA", at positions 5 to 66 of the family's 71-position model. Rfam says of the family: Transfer RNA (tRNA) molecules are approximately 80 nucleotides in length. Their secondary structure includes four short double-helical elements and three loops (D, anti-codon, and T loops). Lineage: Bacteria; Pseudomonadati; Bacteroidota; Bacteroidia; Bacteroidales; Bacteroidaceae. The record is from RNAcentral.
CAGUAGCUCAGUUGGAUAGAGCAACAGCCUUCUAAGCUGUGGGUCGUGGGUUCGAAUCCCGCCUGG